RNAcentral lists this long non-coding RNA (469 nucleotides) under Mus caroli (Ryukyu mouse). RNAcentral's name for it is "lncRNA (MGP_CAROLIEiJ_G0002566.1)". The record is from RNAcentral. Lineage: Eukaryota; Metazoa; Chordata; Mammalia; Rodentia; Muridae.
GCGGCCGCGCUGGUUCUCCUUGAGGUCCAGGUAGUACUUGCGGUUCUCGCGCACCAGGAACUCGCUCUUGAGCGCGCGGCGCGGCCCGCCGCCCUCCUCGGCGCCCGCCGCCAGCUGCUCGGGGCUGCUGGGACCCAGCUGCGCGUAGUGCUCGAUGAAGUCGCCCAGCGAGUCGCGGAACUCGGCGGCCACCGCCAUCGACAGCGUGAGGCGGCUCUUGGAGCCGCCCGCGCCCACCUCGGCGAUCUUGAGGAAGCGGCCCUUGGCGUUCUGCUUCACGUCCAGGAUCAGAAAAGAAGUCCACCCAAGCCUUGCGUAUACCUCAGUACUGCUCUGUCCUCAGAGUACAAAAAGAGGACCCAGGUUCGAGUCUCGGAACACACACAUGGCAGCCCAUAGCCAUGUAUAAUUCCAGUUCCAGGGGAUCCAGCACCCUCCUCUGGCCUUCUUGAGCACCUGCACACACAUG